AUUUUCAGUAUGGUUGGUGCACAUGGGUAAAAGGAGGGGUUCUGUCACUGUCUGCAGAUCAGUUUCCAAAUGGAAUUUUGUAACUUCUUUGGCAAAAGGAGACAGCCAUGUGUUGAAACCAGUUCAGGGCAGCUCAGAAAAAGUUGUCAGAGAUCCUGGAAGAUGGCACCUCUGAGCUGUGGGACUGAAGCCAAUGGAAGCCUGGUGUUCCUGUUCCCCUGUGACCCACCUGGGAGUGCUGCAGAUCUAUGGUUUGGGCUGGUUCCUCACAGGAGAGCAAAUCCAGCUCUGUAGCUGCAGCUGGAACUGCCAGGAAAUCCACACAAGGUUCAUUUCACCUUUUGGAAGUUGAUUUUGUCACUGCGAGUGGCAAUGCAAAGUGAAGAUGUCAUUGAUCUGCUGAAUUAUGUGGGUCUUAGAACGUCACCAAAUCUCACCAAAUAAUUUUUAAAUGAGAACAUGCUUAGAUUUAUGGACCAUGUUAGUCCUUUGGCAAUGGAACACAACCAUACUGUUAGAGGGAUGGCAGUUAUCUUUUGUUAAGUGGGCAGCUUUCCUUAUCUCUUCCACAACCAGUCCUCCCUCUGGAGAAACCUCUGUUCAUGGGCCAGUGAGUGUCACUGCCUGGCUGAUAAAAUUCCAUCAUCCCACUGGGAGAUGCUCCACCCAGGGGGAGGAGCCAAGAAUUCCCAACUGGAUCUACUCUGGAUCUUGGGACACCAGAACAGCAUUUCCACUGGAUUCCCAGAGGAGCAGCUGCCUCUUCCACUGGAUCUUCAGAGGAAGACUGCACCCUUUUCUACGGGAGCCAUCCCUGAUGCUCCAGGAGGGCUGCAGCCACAAUUCCAAUGGGACUGCUACCAACACCUUCACCCACAGGGUGUCAGCUUGUAUUCUGACUCUGUUAGUGUUGUUUUGAUUUACUGCAUUGUUUAUUUUGUUUUUUUUAAAUUUUCUUCCCU
Long non-coding RNA from Haemorhous mexicanus (house finch), 962 nucleotides. RefSeq lists it as uncharacterized. The transcript is spliced from 3 exons. The record is from RefSeq and is a predicted model, not a curated record. Lineage: Eukaryota; Metazoa; Chordata; Aves; Passeriformes; Fringillidae.